GGAGAUUUAGCUCAGUGGUAGAGUGCUUGCCUAGGAAGCGCAAGGCCCUGGGUUCGGUCCCCAGCUCCG
This is a non-coding RNA of Rattus norvegicus (Norway rat), 69 nucleotides long. Lineage: Eukaryota; Metazoa; Chordata; Mammalia; Rodentia; Muridae. The record is from Rfam.